AUGCUACCGUCGGCGAGGCCACUGCUCGCUGCCGCCGCCGUGCUAUGCUUCUGGCUGCUGGUGGCCGUGGCGGAGGCCAAGGUGCACCACUACACGUGGGACAUCUCGUACCAGUUAAAGUCCCCCGACUGCUUCGAGAAGCUCGCCGUGACCGUCAACGGCGAGGCUCCCGGCCCGACCAUCCGCGCCACGUUGGGUGACACCAUCAUCGUCGCCGUCCAUAACAAGCUCGAGACCGAGAACACCGCCAUCCACUGGCACGGCAUCCGCCAGAUCGACACGCCGUGGGCUGACGGCGUCGCCGGCGUCACGCAGUGCCCCAUCCUGCCCGGCGAAACCUUCACCUACAAAUUCGUCGUCGACAGGCCUGGCACGUACCUGUACCAUGCGCACUACGGGAUGCAGCGCGUGGCGGGACUCAACGGCAUGAUCGUGGUCACCGUGCCGGACGGCUUCGUCGAGCCCUUUUCUUACGACGAGGAGCACACCGUCCUCCUCGGCGACUGGUGGCACAAGAGCGUCUACGAGCAGGCCACAGGCCUCUCCUCCAACCCCUUCGUCUUCGUCACGGAGCCCCAGUCUCUCCUCAUCAACGGCAGAGGAAUGUUCAACUGCUCGCUCGCUCCCAGUGGAACGUGCAACGCCUCCCGCCCCGACUGCGCUCUGCCGACUCUCUUCACCGCCGUGCCGGGAAAGACAUACCUCCUCCGCAUCGGCAGCCUCACCUCGCUCUCAUCGCUCUACUUCGAGAUAGAGGGCCACUCCAUGAUGGUCGUGGAGGCCGACGGGCACUACGUGCGGCCGUUCGCGGUGAGGGGCCUCUUCAUCUACUCCGGCGAGACGUACUCCGUGCUGGUCAAGGCCGACCAGGACCCGCGGAGAAACUACUGGGCUGCGUCCCACGUCGUCGGCCGCAACCCCAGCCAGACACCGACCGGCAAGGCCGUCGUGAGCUACGCCUUCAACGGCAACAACCCGUGGAUGCCUCCGCCCACGGCGCCACCGGCUGGCCCGCCAUGGAACAACACGGCUAUCAGGGUGGAGCAGAGCAGGGCCAUCUUCGCGCACCCACGCUUCGUAGAGCCCAUGCCGGCGAGGGCCGACCGCACACUGCUCCUCCUCAACACCCAGAACCGGAUCGAUGGCCACAUCAAGUGGACCAUCAAUGGCGUGUCGCUCAUGUUCCCGGCCACGCCGUACCUCGUGGCGAUGAAGCGCGGCAUGAAAGACGCGUACGAGCAACGCCCGCCGCCCGACAUGUACGACCACAUGAGCCACGACAUCUCCGCGCCGGCGCCGACGAACGGGACCGUGGGCAGCCCGGUGUACCGGCUUGCGCUCGGCUCCGUGGUGGACGUGGUGCUGCAGAACUCCAACAUGCUCAAUAACAAGAGCGAGACGCACCCGUGGCAUCUCCAUGGUCACGACUUCUGGGUGCUUGGCCAUGGUGAAGGUAAGUUCAACCCUGCCGCGGACGCCUGGAGGCUGCUCAACGUGAGAGAUCCCAUCAUGAAGAACACGGUGCCACUGCACCCGGAUGGGUGGACGGCGGUGCGGUUCCGGGCGGACAACCCGGGGGUGUGGCUGUUCCACUGUCACGUGGAAGCUCAUGUGUUCAUGGGCAUGGGUGUGGUCUUCGAGGAGGGCGUCGAGAGGGUCGGCCGGCUGCCGUCGUCCAUCAUGGGCUGUGGACGAUCCAAGGGGCUGCACUGA
Molecule: ribosomal RNA, 1713 nt
Filed under: Triticum aestivum (bread wheat)
Lineage: Eukaryota; Viridiplantae; Streptophyta; Magnoliopsida; Poales; Poaceae
Description: partial small subunit ribosomal RNA
Source: RNAcentral